CCUACGGGGGGCUGCAGUGGGGAAUAUUGGACAAUGGGGGGAACCCUGAUCCAGCCAUGCCGCGUGUGUGAAGAAGGCCCUCGGGUUGUAAAGCACUUUCAGUGAGGAAGAACGCCUGGUGGUUAAUACCCAUCAGGAAAGACAUCACUCACAGAAGAAGCACCGGCUAACUCCGUGCCAGCAGCCGCGGUAAUACGGAGGGUGCGAGCGUUAAUCGGAAUUACUGGGCGUAAAGCGCGCGUAGGUGGCUUGAUAAGCCGGUUGUGAAAGCCCCGGGCUCAACCUGGGAACGGCAUCCGGAACUGUCAAGCUAGGGUGCAGGAGAGGAAGGUAGAAUUCCCGGGGUAGCGGUGAAAUGCGUAGAGAUCGGGAGGAAUACCAGUGGCGAAGGCGGCCUUCUGGACUGACACUGACACUGAGGUGCGAAAGCGUGGGUAGCAAACAGGAUUAGAUACCCCUGUAGUC
This 465-nucleotide ribosomal RNA is filed under the name Vreelandella stevensii. Its description in RNAcentral is "partial 16S ribosomal RNA". It matches the Rfam family "Bacterial small subunit ribosomal RNA", at positions 338 to 795 of the family's 1533-position model. The record is from RNAcentral. Lineage: Bacteria; Pseudomonadati; Pseudomonadota; Gammaproteobacteria; Oceanospirillales; Halomonadaceae.